GUGAACGCUGGCGGUAGGCCUAACCCAUGCCCGUCGCACGGCAGCACAGUAAGAGCUUGCUCUUACGGGUGGCGAGUGGCGGACGGGUGAGGAAUACAUCGGAAUCUACUUUUUCGUGGGGGAUAACGUAGGGAAACUUACGCUAAUACCGCAUACGACCUACGGGUGAAAGCAGGGGAUCUUCGGACCUUGCGCGAUUGAAUGAGCCGAUGUCGGAUUAGCUAGUUGGCGGGGUAAAGGCCCACCAAGGCGACGAUCCGUAGCUGGUCUGAGAGGAUGAUCAGCCACACUGGAACUGAGACACGGUCCAGACUCCUACGGGAGGCAGCAGUGGGGAAUAUUGGACAAUGGGCGCAAGCCUGAUCCAGCCAUACCGCGUGGGUGAAGAAGGCCUUCGGGUUGUAAAGCCCUUUUGUUGGGAAAGAAAAGCAGCAGGUUAAUACCCCGCUGUUCUGACGGUACCCAAAGAAUAAGCACCGGCUAACUUCGUG
Molecule: ribosomal RNA, 491 nt
Filed under: uncultured bacterium
Lineage: Bacteria
Description: partial 16S ribosomal RNA
Rfam family: Bacterial small subunit ribosomal RNA
Source: RNAcentral